UACAGAGGUGGCAAGCGUUGUUCGGAAUUACUGGGCGUAAAGGGCGCGUAGGCGGCUUGGUCAGUCCCGUGUGAAAUCCCUCGGCUCAACUGAGGAACUGCACGGGAAACUGCCUGGCUUGAGUUCGGGAGAGGGAAGCGGAAUUCCGGGUGUAGCGGUGAAAUGCGUAGAUAUCCGGAGGGACACCGGUGGCGAAGGCGGCUUCCUGGACCGACACUGACGCUGAGGCGCGAAAGCUAGGGGAGCAAACGGG
Molecule: ribosomal RNA, 253 nt
Filed under: uncultured bacterium
Lineage: Bacteria
Description: partial 16S ribosomal RNA
Rfam family: Bacterial small subunit ribosomal RNA
Source: RNAcentral